RNAcentral lists this ribosomal RNA (633 nucleotides) under Priestia megaterium. RNAcentral's name for it is "bacterial SSU rRNA". It matches the Rfam family "Bacterial small subunit ribosomal RNA", at positions 57 to 672 of the family's 1533-position model. Lineage: Bacteria; Bacillati; Bacillota; Bacilli; Caryophanales; Bacillaceae. The record is from RNAcentral.
GCAGUCGAGCGAACUGAUUAGAAGCUUGCUUCUAUGACGUUAGCGGCGGACGGGUGAGUAACACGUGGGCAACCUGCCUGUAAGACUGGGAUAACUUCGGGAAACCGAAGCUAAUACCGGAUAGGAUCUUCUCCUUCAUGGGAGAUGAUUGAAAGAUGGUUUCGGCUAUCACUUACAGAUGGGCCCGCGGUGCAUUAGCUAGUUGGUGAGGUAACGGCUCACCAAGGCAACGAUGCAUAGCCGACCUGAGAGGGUGAUCGGCCACACUGGGACUGAGACACGGCCCAGACUCCUACGGGAGGCAGCAGUAGGGAAUCUUCCGCAAUGGACGAAAGUCUGACGGAGCAACGCCGCGUGAGUGAUGAAGGCUUUCGGGUCGUAAAACUCUGUUGUUAGGGAAGAACAAGUAUGAGAGUAACUGCUCGUACCUUGACGGUACCUAACCAGAAAGCCACGGCUAACUACGUGCCAGCAGCCGCGGUAAUACGUAGGUGGCAAGCGUUAUCCGGAAUUAUUGGGCGUAAAGCGCGCGCAGGCGGUUUCUUAAGUCUGAUGUGAAAGCCCACGGCUCAACCGUGGAGGGUCAUUGGAAACUGGGGAACUUGAGUGCAGAAGAGAAAAGCGGAAUUCCAC